This is a non-coding RNA of Sporosarcina sp. P33, 136 nucleotides long. NCBI's taxonomy places the organism in Bacteria, Bacillati, Bacillota, Bacilli, Caryophanales, Caryophanaceae. The record is from Rfam.
GAGAAUUCCCCGACCUAUGUAAUAGCCUAAUAUACAUAGAGCCUGAUCCUCCUGCAUGCCAAAUGGUUUACUCGCCAUGAAGCAUGAAGCCAGGUGAAGUCGUAAUACGUGCAAGUCGUAUGCGGGGCUCCUUAAA